UGUCACCAUAUAGUAAUUAGCAGUUGGUACAGUAUGUCCUUUCUAUGGAUUAGCCAUUCAGAUUUGCCCUUUUUGUGUUUUCUACUGUGCCUUUUCUUAUAAUGAAUUUCUAUGAACUGUUUAAAAUAAGACCAAUCAAAGGCCAUUGGUUAGACUUUUAAUCUUGUGAUUUUUCUUUUGGACAUGGGACAUUUUAAAACCUGGUAAGGCAGUCAAAGCAUGAUCUUUAGGAUUUCUUCCACUGCUUCUAUGAGUCCUUCUUUAUGGUGACAGCCCCUAAUGUUUUUGCCAACAUUUCCAGCCAGCCUGCUUCCUUUUGGACAGGUUUUUUUUGGACCCUAUGACUUGAUAAAGCUGUGGGACAAGUUCAGCAAUGACUGCGAGCAGAAGUGACUGCACAUCUGGCCUGAGUCUUUGCUUACUGAUAAUACUCUGUCCAAUCUGGUAGCUACUAGCCACAUGUAAUUAUUCACACUUAAUUAAAAUUAAAAUGAGAACUAUCAGCUUUCAUUCUCACUAGCCACAUCUCUAGUGUUCAACAGCCACAUGUGGCUAGUGACCACUGCAGCAGACAGGGCAGCCUGGAUUCUCUUUCUGGCACCACAUGGUAGCUGAUCAGAGACUCUGGGGCCUUAGGAAACUGGGUUGAGCAGUUCUGCUGACCAGUGAUGGAUGUGUAGCAGAACGGAGAAAACACUUUUGUGGCUUUGAAGCAAGAGGAAUUUGGGGGUUACUUGUGCUUUCUUUUUUUAACUAUAGCAUAAAGUGGACUUGCUAGCCUGUUCCAUUCUAUUUAUCAAGUCAAAUCACCAUUAUAUCACAGGUUUUUGGCAGUGCUGGGGAUGGAAUCCAGGACUUUGCACAUGUGAGGCAAAUGCUCUACCAGUUAGACCUAAACCCUACCACAGUUUUAAAUAUUUAAAAAAAAAAAAAACUAUUUUUUUUUUACUAGUAGGGAAAGUUACCAAUUACUCUCUUAAUUUUUGUUUCUUAGCCACGCUUUCCUGUUUAUUCUCCAAGGUGAACUGGGAUCAUUCUGUCUGGAUACACUCUUCUUGCUGGGAUCGUGACUGGAAUUGUGUUUGACCAGGACAUUCAUGUGGGAAAAACUGGUAUUCCGUGAGAGUCACUUUUCCCAUCCAGAACCAUGGUGGACCUCUCCAUUUACUGGGUGCCUGUCCAGCUGAGCCUAUCACGUGUCUGUCUGCUGAGAUGCAUGGUGCCGAGUCAGAAGUGAUGGGAGAAAAAUAAGGACAACAUUGUGACUUAAAAAAGAGCCAUUCUCUAUCUUUCUAUCCCUUCCUCUUUCCUCUUUUGGGGUUGGAAUGGCCUCUUUUUUUUUGGUACUAAAUCCCCUAUUGCCCAAAAAACCAAAAUCACUGAUAGAUUUUUGUGUGUGUGUGUGUGUGUGUAGUGAUUGUUUAUUUUUAAAUAUAUAAGUUGACUGUUUUGAAAAACUUACUGAUCUGUGAAAUCUCAAAAUCUGGAUAAUUUUUUUCCUUUCACAGUGCAGGGGGUUGAACCCAGGACCACACACAUGCUAGGUAGGGGCUCUACCACUGAGCUGCUCUCCAGCCCCAGGAUUAGAGUUUUCAAUAGGUUUGACUUUUAUUAUACAGACUACCUCUGUCUUGUUUGGGAUUUUGCAUUGGAGGUGCUAGAAGGAAUGGGUCUUUGUUCUUGUUUUUCUGUUUUAUAUAGAGUUCUCUGUUAACAUAAAGCCUGAAGUGUCAUGUAGCAACCAUCUACUGAAUACCUUUGAACAAAGCCUUAUCCUCUACUGGAAGCCCACAGUCUAACCAGGGAGUUAGGAAGACAGUUGCUGAUCAUAGCACUGUAAGGAGGAACUGUCAAGGGAGCACAGCUCGAGUUAAUUUAGGAAAACAAGGCAGUUUGCUGAAUGACUGCUGCAAACCCCAAAAGACUUGGGACUUUAGUAAUGUUUUUUUUUUUUUUUUUUUCAUCUCCUUGUAGAACUCUAUGGGCAGUACUGGUGCAGUUUCUGAUAGAUUGCCUAAUUCCAUUCUGCUUUCAUCCACAAAUGACCGAGUUGGGAAGUGAGCAUCCCGUCCCAUCAAUUUUUCAUUUUACUUUGACCCAGGUUCAUAACAUUUAGAAUUGUUUUGAAAGAAAGCUGUUCCCUAUUUUUGUGGUCUGGGGCUAAGGUAUGCUUUCAUAUGUUUUACAUGUAGGAGAUUAGGCUGCAUCUACAUGUGAGACAAAAGAAUGGAGGACAGAAAGAAUUUAGUAAGCCAAUUUCUUUGUGGUAUACUGCUUUCUGCCUGUGCGCUUCUCUACUUGGCCUUUUGGGGAGAGUUUCUGCAUAGUCUCAGAUUACCUCCUGCAUGUUAAUAGACUCCCAAACUACCUGCAACUGCUCAUUGGAUAUAUCUCCUCCUGGACAUUUUCAAGAUCCAACUCCUAAUUCUGCUGGAUUCCCUUCAGGAACACUGUCCAUACUUUGGGGCACUGUGAUUGUCAUUUAUGUGGCUGUUUUCACAAUUGAAUCUUAAGAUCUUAGAAGGCAGAGGCCAAGAUUUCUUGUUCUAUUGUAUCUGCAAUUCUCACUACAGGGCUGGGCCAAAUUAUAGCCAAUCAAAAGUUUCUUUGAACAAAAGAAUACAAUCAUCAGAGGUUACAUCUGUUGACAUUUUCUUCCUGUAAGAAGAAAAUGUCAAAGGACGUAAUUUGGCAAUUUUGUUUUUUUAGUACUAGGGACUGGACCCAGGGGUGCUCUGUUACUGAGUUAUACUCCCAGUUCUUUUUACUUUUUGAGACAGGGUCUCACUGAAUUGCUAAAGUUGGCCCUUAUGAUCCUCCUGCUUCAAGCUCCUGAGUCUCUGGAAUUAUAGGUGUGUGGCGCUGAAGGUGGAUUUUUUUUUUUUUAAACUAUGGAUCUCAUUAAGUUGCCCAGGCUGGUCUCAAAUUUACAGUCCUCCUCCUUCAGCCUCCCAAAUCACUGAAAUAACAAGCAGGUGCCACUGCAUCUGCUUUGACAAUGCUUUCUGAACUUCUGGGGGAGGGGGGGGGGCUGUUCAGUUAUCAGUGGCCACUUUGCUGGGAGUGUUCUGAACCCUAUAACCCAGAGGCUUGAUCCUCUUUAUCCUGAUCUGCUUGGUUCCUAGAAUAAAUAUGUGGUAGAAAACCUACAGAAAUUUUACAGUAUCUUUUUAAAUUUUUUUGGAUAUAUACAGAAUGGUAAGAAAACAAAAAUUUGGCCCUAUUUAGGAAAAAUGUAUGAAGCUGCUUUGGGAACUUUAAAUAAUGCAUAUUCAUAUUUAAUAUGUAUACAUAUAUAUACAGUAUAAAGGGACUUUAUAGUUUCAUGUGACAUUAAGUUUUCACUUAUGGAUUAGUGAGCACUUCUAAAAGAACAAAAUCUGAGAGAUUCAAACCAACAAUGACUACAUUGCUAGAGCGUGGUCCUAAU
This 3430-nucleotide long non-coding RNA is filed under the name Marmota monax (woodchuck). The record is from RNAcentral. Lineage: Eukaryota; Metazoa; Chordata; Mammalia; Rodentia; Sciuridae.